GGAAUUUUCCGCAAUGGGCGAAAGCCUGACGGAGCAACGCCGCGUGAGGGAUGAAGGCCUCUGGGCUGUAAACCUCUUUUAUCAAGGAAGAAGAUCUGACGGUACUUGAUGAAUAAGCCACGGCUAAUUCCGUGCCAGCAGCCGCGGUAAUACGGGAGUGGCAAGCGUUAUCCGGAAUUAUUGGGCGUAAAGCGUCCGCAGGCGGCCCAUCAAGUCUGCUGUUAAAAAGUGGAGCUUAACUCCAUCAUGGCAGUGGAAACUGUUGGGCUUGAGUGUGGUAGGGGCAGAGGGAAUUCCCGGUGUAGCGGUGAAAUGCGUAGAUAUCGGGAAGAACGCCAGUGGCGAAGGCGCUCUGCUGGGCCAUAACUGACGCUCAUGGACGAAAGCCAGGGGAGCGAAAGGGAUUAGAUACCCCUGUAGUC
This 422-nucleotide ribosomal RNA is filed under the name uncultured cyanobacterium. Its description in RNAcentral is "bacterial SSU rRNA". It matches the Rfam family "Bacterial small subunit ribosomal RNA", at positions 358 to 795 of the family's 1533-position model. The record is from RNAcentral. Lineage: Bacteria; Bacillati; Cyanobacteriota.